CCUACGGGAGGCAGCAGUGGGGAAUAUUGCACAAUGGGGGGAAACCCCUGAUGCAGCGACGCCGCGUGGAGGAAGAAGGUCUUCGGAUUGUAAACUCCUGUUGUUGAGGAAGAUAAUGACGGUACUCAACAAGGAAGUGACGGCUAACUACGUGCCAGCA
Molecule: ribosomal RNA, 160 nt
Filed under: uncultured bacterium
Lineage: Bacteria
Description: partial 16S ribosomal RNA
Rfam family: Bacterial small subunit ribosomal RNA
Source: RNAcentral